AUUGAACGCUGGCGGCAUGCCUAACACAUGCAAGUCGAGCGAGCGGCGGACGGGUGAGUAAUGUAUGGGGACUGCCCGAUAGAGGGGGAUAACUACUGGCAACGGUUGCUAAUACCGCAUACUAUCGGAUAACCCAUAUGGGAUUAGCUAGUUGGUGGGGUAAAGGCUCACCUAGGCGACGAUCGCUAGCUGGUGUGAUAGGAUGAUCAGCCACACUGGGACUGAGAACAGGCCCAGACUCCUAAGGAGGCAGCAGUGGGGAAUAUUGCACAAUGGGCGAAAGCCUGAUGCAGCCAUGCCGCGUGUAUGAAGAAGGCCUUAGGGUUGGAAAGUACUUUCAGCAGUGAAGCGUUACCCGCAGAAUAAGCACCGGCUAACUCCGUGCCAGCCGCCGCGGUAAUAC
This 403-nucleotide ribosomal RNA is filed under the name uncultured bacterium. RNAcentral describes it as "partial 16S ribosomal RNA". It matches the Rfam family "Bacterial small subunit ribosomal RNA", at positions 30 to 526 of the family's 1533-position model. The record is from RNAcentral.